AACAGACUGAAAAACGACAUCUUUGGGCUGAUUAUCAUCCAAGCUUCAUCGUGUGCCCAAUUAAAUGACACUGUGAACAAAAUUCCAACACCCUGACAUCAUGUAAAGUGAAACUUCAACUACAUAAAGCUGUUCUCCCUCCUUCC
This is a long non-coding RNA of Thalassophryne amazonica, 146 nucleotides long. RefSeq lists it as uncharacterized. Lineage: Eukaryota; Metazoa; Chordata; Actinopteri; Batrachoidiformes; Batrachoididae. The record is from RefSeq and is a predicted model, not a curated record. The transcript is spliced from 3 exons.